ACCAUUAAAUAAUACAGUCAGUCUACCUACAUUCUCAGCCUAUUUAAAGAAGCUGAAACAGACACAUCCCAAUGCUACUUUCGAAGAAAUAGAGCAAACACUUCUUCAUGUAUUUGCUCCUGAUACUAUUGCACCAGUAACAUCAGAAGAAACUGUCCAAUCAGGCAAUCCCUUUUUGGAUGAUUUCAGCCAAAGGCCCACAGAUUAAAGCAGCCCGAUAGUCUAGCCCGAUACAGUCC
RNAcentral lists this long non-coding RNA (239 nucleotides) under Amborella trichopoda. RNAcentral's name for it is "long non-coding RNA (ATRI_LNC001139)". Lineage: Eukaryota; Viridiplantae; Streptophyta; Magnoliopsida; Amborellales; Amborellaceae. The record is from RNAcentral.